GCGCACUUGCUUACCCCGGGCUUCUCCGAAAAUUUUCAAUCUGACGAUGCUAAAGCCCCAAAGCUCGUGCUAUAUUUACCGCCGUUCGUGUUGCAGUUCCGCCGCCUCUCCACGGCGUUUCUGUGUCUAAGAAACGGCCACAUCU
Molecule: non-coding RNA, 145 nt
Organism: Spinacia oleracea (spinach)
Lineage: Eukaryota; Viridiplantae; Streptophyta; Magnoliopsida; Caryophyllales; Amaranthaceae
Source: Rfam